CAAGGAAGGCAGCAGGCGCGCAAAUUACCCACUCCCGGCACGGGGAGGUAGUGACGAAAAAUAACGAUACGGGACUCAUCCGAGGCCCCGUAAUCGGAAUGAGUACACUUUAAAUCCUUUAACGAGGAUCAAUUGGAGGGCAAGUCUGGUGCCAGCAGCCGCGGUAAUUCCAGCUCCAAUAGCGUAUAUUAAAGUUGUUGCGGUUAAAAAGCUCGUAGUCGAAUCUGUGUCGUGCGCCGCCGGUUCAUCGCUCGCGGUGUCAACUGGCGUGUCGCAGGACGUCCUGCCGGUGGACUUAGCCGCGACGUCGUCUCGCGCGGCGUCGUGGCGGUCCAACUUCAACAAUCCCACCGCGGUGCUCUUCGCUGAGUGUCGAGGUGGGCCGGCACGUUUACUUUGAACAAAUUAGAGUGCUUAAAGCAGGCUAAAAUUUCGCCUGAAUACUGUGUGCAUGGAAUAAUGGAAUAGGACCUCGGUUCUAUUUUGUUAGUUUUCGGAACCCCGAGGUAAUGAUUAAUAGGAACGGAUGGGGGCAUUCGUAUUGCGACGUUAGAGGUGAAAUUCUUGGAUCGUCGCAAGACGGACUUAAGCGAAAGCAUUUGCCAAAAACGCUUUCAUUGAUCAAGAACGAAAGUUAGAGGUUCGAAGGCGAUCAGAUACCGCCCUAGUUCUAACCAUAAACGAUGCCAGCUAGCGAUCCGCCGACGUUCCUCCGAUGACUCGGCGGGCAGCUUCCGGGAAACCAAAGCUUUUGGGUUCCGGGGGAAGU
Molecule: ribosomal RNA, 769 nt
Filed under: Phelister sp. KU2010.21
Lineage: Eukaryota; Metazoa; Arthropoda; Insecta; Coleoptera; Histeridae
Description: SSU rRNA
Rfam family: Eukaryotic small subunit ribosomal RNA
Source: RNAcentral